AGGACCGCUGCCUUAAAUGUCCCGUUUCAUCCUCCCACUCCUCCAGAUCUACACCGGCCAGGAAACUUUUCUAAAGCCUGUCGAGUGCAUGUGGAAGCCAAAGCUCAGAUGUUCUUUUCUCCCAAACACAAGCCAGCAGCUCUUGGCGUCACUCCUUCUUGGCGCACUUCAACAAACCGAUACACUGAGUCAUGGACCUUUUGCUUUUGUUGCUCUGAACCCACUGUGAUGAUGAAAAAGCCUGUAUUAUCGCGUUCAGCUGCUGGGAACCUCGCUCUUUUGUGACGGACGCCGCGGAUUCGGCAAUAAAAGCAGAUUUACCCUCACACUGGUGUCGACCGACGGAUAGAGGAAUCAUCAUCACAGCAUCUCCAAAACCACAUUAACAUCGGCCCAGGGUGCAUCCUACUCAGUUUAUACACAGAAGAAAAUAAGAAAAGUUUAAGAGCUGAAACACAAACAGUUAAAACCCCAGGAAGAGGAAGCAGAGAAAUGAGUGUAAAGAAAAACACUGAAGGACGAUGACAGGAAAGAGUUUAGAGACGAUCGGAAGAAGGAAAACAGAUUCAACUUCUGUUGAACUCGAAGACAGUUUAACUAAUGACCCGUUAGAUUCAGAUUCUCCAUCACAAAACUCACAUUAAAACCUCUAAACAACCAAUAAAUAUAUCAGAGGUGUCUAAAGUAUUCACAUUCAUUCCUCAGGUAGAAGUAUUGAUACUAGGGUUUAACCAGACUUCUGCAGAAGCUGAAGUAUCAACUCAAGCCUUUUAGGGUGUAUUCACAUCAGAAAAGUCCUUUGGUCCGCUUAUUUGUUUCGGGUCAAAUGUGGACUUUAUUUUUUUCAUUU
Molecule: long non-coding RNA, 850 nt
Organism: Sphaeramia orbicularis (orbiculate cardinalfish)
Lineage: Eukaryota; Metazoa; Chordata; Actinopteri; Kurtiformes; Apogonidae
Exons: 3
Source: RefSeq, a predicted model, not a curated record